UCGUGUGACUCAUUUAACUGACUAGCGCUUUCCUCGUUUUUUCCUUUCCACGUGUGCGUAAUCCUUUUACUGUUCUUGUCACACCGUUGAUAAAGUGCCGCGCCAUUAUAGUACGUGCGUAGUUUCUUCAAGCAGUUCAACGCAAUCUUCACGUAACUGAUUUAUGUAAUAAUUAUAUCGUUCGUAAUGUCUGUAAUAAUUUCUGACAGAUUAAACGUUCGCAAUAGACAAAAAAUAGGAAUACAUUUAAAAGGAAAAAUAGGACAUACAUACAAACGAGGCUGAAGUUUUGCAAAUAUAAUAAAAACCGAAGUGAAGUCGAUCUUGUUAACCAAACUUCGCUAGUGAAGCUAACAGACCAAUAAACCAAGCCAAUUAGAUCGAAACUACUUUGUGGUCGAGCGAAUAAAAAGUAUCUUUCGUUUUCUUUCUACUUUCUCAUGUUACAUGCAUUGGUUAACCAUAAAUUGGGCUACCGGACAGGUACAAACGAAAUUAACUGCAAUUUUAUCUGAAAAAUCUAUAACUAGGUUUUAUAAAAUAGCAUCUUCUUCGAACUGGUGCAUCGUACAAAACCGAUGGAAUAUGAACUAAUGCGAGGCCACGUAUAGGGGAAGAACGCGUCCGGACAGACGAAAAUUUAUGAUAUUGAUUAUCAUAGGAAUGCAAUUUAUUACACAAAUUGAAUUCGAUGUACAGCAGCGACAAGGGAAAUGUCGGGAUAGAACGGGAUUUAUACUGCACGCUGUUGUACAGGGUGUCAUCGAAUCGUAAACGAGAAAAACGCGAUCUCGCCCUGAGAUCGUCAGGUCGAAGGUUAACCAGCAAAGUUGCCAGCAGUGGAAGGGUCACAUAUUAAAUUUCGACAGCGAUCGCAUCAUAUAAAUUGCUCGUGACAGGCUGUCACGACUCACUAUACAGGAACCAACAUAUCUCAAUUCCUCCUGGAGUAACGCUAAUGGAUACUCUCUUCAUCGAUACUAGAACAUGCCAUCAUGUAAUUUGAAGUAGAUCAAAAUCAGAAGAAAUGUCACGACUUAUUGAUGACUACACAACUAAUCAUGCGUGCCUUAUUAAAAAUGGCCUUCGUUUAUCAAGGAUCAGUGACUAAUUAGCAAAGGUCAGCAUCAAGACGCUCCAUGAAAGAAGCUUCCUUGUUAAAAAAUAUCAACUGAUAAGCUCGACCUUUCGUAAAAAAUGCUAAUAAUGCAUAUAAAGCGUGCACAGGAUGUUUAAAAAUGCGUGAUUUUUGUGGUAAAAAAUUAGAAAUAUUAGUUACGAGCUACGAUGUUCUUCUGGUUCUUUGAGUCUCUAGUUUUUAAGACGCGUUGGUCAGCGACAGAAGACAAUUAAAUAGCCGAAGAAGUAUUUACGAGACAAUAAAUCGCCACAAACAAAAUCGUCAAAGCACUGAUCUCAAACGAAAUGAAAACCAUUAAAACCUCCUUAGAAAUAAAAAGUCACUCAUGUUAUAAUCAAAAUUCAGUGAACAUUUAAUAAGAGUUCUUCAAACUAUUUUCGAUUCACUGAAAAUUACAAAAGAAACCAUUCAUAUUUCAACAAAAACGCAACAAAAACUUCAUCAAGAUUUUGAAAUAUAUCAUCGAUAGUAUGAAA
Bombus pyrosoma is the source of this 1617-nucleotide long non-coding RNA. RefSeq lists it as uncharacterized. The record is from RefSeq and is a predicted model, not a curated record. The transcript is spliced from 4 exons. Lineage: Eukaryota; Metazoa; Arthropoda; Insecta; Hymenoptera; Apidae.